Molecule: ribosomal RNA, 489 nt
Filed under: uncultured bacterium
Lineage: Bacteria
Description: partial 16S ribosomal RNA
Rfam family: Bacterial small subunit ribosomal RNA
Source: RNAcentral
GAUGAACGCUAGCUACAGGCUUAACACAUGCAAGUCGAGGGGCAGCAUGAACUUAGCUUGCUAAGUUUGAUGGCGACCGGCGCACGGGUGAGUAACACGUAUCCAACCUGCCGAUGACUCGGGGAUAGCCUUUCGAAAGAAAGAUUAAUACCCGAUGGCAUAGUUCUUCCGCAUGGUAGAACUAUUAAAGAAUUUCGGUCAUCGAUGGGGAUGCGUUCCAUUAGGUUGUUGGCGGGGUAACGGCCCACCAAGCCUUCGAUGGAUAGGGGUUCUGAGAGGAAGGUCCCCCACAUUGGAACUGAGACACGGUCCAAACUCCUACGGGAGGCAGCAGUGAGGAAUAUUGGUCAAUGGACGAGAGUCUGAACCAGCCAAGUAGCGUGAAGGAUGACUGCCCUAUGGGUUGUAAACUUCUUUUAUACGGGAAUAAAGUGUGGCACGUGUGCCUUUUUGUAUGUACCGUAUGAAUAAGGAUCGGCUAACUCCGUG